Molecule: ribosomal RNA, 765 nt
Filed under: uncultured bacterium
Lineage: Bacteria
Description: bacterial SSU rRNA
Rfam family: Bacterial small subunit ribosomal RNA
Source: RNAcentral
GAGUGGCGAACGGGUGAGUAACACGUGGGUAACCUGCCCAUCAGAAGGGGAUAACACUUGGAAACAGGUGCUAAUACCGUAUAACACUAUUUUCCGCAUGGAAGAAAGUUGAAAGGCGCUUUUGCGUCACUGAUGGAUGGACCCGCGGUGCAUUAGCUAGUUGGUGAGGUAACGGCUCACCAAGGCCACGAUGCAUAGCCGACCUGAGAGGGUGAUCGGCCACACUGGGACUGAGACACGGCCCAGACUCCUACGGGAGGCAGCAGUAGGGAAUCUUCGGCAAUGGACGAAAGUCUGACCGAGCAACGCCGCGUGAGUGAAGAAGGUUUUCGGAUCGUAAAACUCUGUUGUUAGAGAAGAACAAGGAUGAGAGUAGAACGUUCAUCCCUUGACGGUAUCUAACCAGAAAGCCACGGCUAACUACGUGCCAGCAGCCGCGGUAAUACGUAGGUGGCAAGCGUUGUCCGGAUUUAUUGGGCGUAAAGCGAGCGCAGGCGGUUUCUUAAGUCUGAUGUGAAAGCCCCCGGCUCAACCGGGGAGGGUCAUUGGAAACUGGGGGACUUGAGUGCAGAAGAGGAGAGUGGAAUUCCAUGUGUAGCGGUGAAAUGCGUAGAUAUAUGGAGGAACACCAGUGGCGAAGGCGGCUCUCUGGUCUGUAACUGACGCUGAGGCUCGAAAGCGUGGGGAGCGAACAGGGUUAGAUACCCUGGUAGUCCACGCCGUAAACGAUGAGUGCUAAGUGUUGGAGGGUUUCCGCCCUUCAGU